Long non-coding RNA from Oncorhynchus tshawytscha (Chinook salmon), 2714 nucleotides. RefSeq lists it as uncharacterized. The record is from RefSeq and is a predicted model, not a curated record. The transcript is spliced from 3 exons. Lineage: Eukaryota; Metazoa; Chordata; Actinopteri; Salmoniformes; Salmonidae.
CCUGGUACAUUGUUUGCUGCCUACACCCAUUCAGGAUGCACCGUUUCAGUGACGCAAUAUUUUGGAUAAAAACGGACAAAUGUAACUAAGGCUGGGUGUGUCAAGACGAUCAAACAUAGCCAGGGAAAUGAUCACAAGUCAGUCAUAACGUGGCUAAUAGGGUAGCAAAUCUAUUUAUGUAGCAAGGUAAAAAAAUAUAUUUAAAAAAAUGAAAAAACACUGAGCCUAAAGUUAGCUAGCUGCUGGGAGGAUGUCCUGUCCUUGGAGGACUGGUUCCCGACAGAGGACGGGGAUGACCUUGUUAACAUUUCCGGAGUAAUGAAUUAAUCCACACGAGUGCUGAAUCUCUGCCGAUUCCUGCCAGCACACAGCCUAUUGCCUCAAAUCUCUCUCUCAGAAUGCAACUUGAGUUGGGUGAUCGUGAGAUGUCUUGUGGGAUUGUGCUUCUGAUCUCCCUGGCGACAGCCUGAACCCGCAACCCUGAUUGGGCCCAGAUGGACUUUGGAACCUUCACUGUGGUUCUCACUUCAAAAAGCCCCCGGUGCCCUCAGAAGUCUCACCCAACAUCCUCAUUUUCUGUCUGUGUCAUUUCUCUCAGCCCAUAUGUGAAUGUAUAAUCUUUGACUGUUGGACUGCUUGAAUGCGUGCGUGCGUGAGUACAAUGGUAUAGUGUCAUUUAUAUAUGUAUCACUGUUGAAAGACGCUUUUUUUGACACCUUUGAGAAGAAUGUUGAACGCAGAAUAUCUACAUCUUGCAUUGUACAUUUUGGCAACACAUGCUAGAGACUCUUUAAAAUGUUUUAAAGAAUACCAAUGAAAAGCCCUCUCUCAUAUGGUAAUAUUAGCUUUUUAUAGGAACACCACACGGCUUGAUUGCUUUUCAUCGUAUGUUAUUAAAGAUGCAUACUGUGGCCGGAAUAAUUGCACGGCACAGGGAACUCUGACGGUUUUAUUGCAGUAGCAGUAAGACAUGGAGUAAACAACUAGUCUUUGGGUCCCUUGAUGCCACUAGAUUCCCCGGGAAACCAGUGUGUCAGAAAUGUUUAAUCUUCUACAAAUGAGACGUCACGUACCUUUUCUCCAAUUGGCUCACAGGAGAAAGUGAGAGUGGAGAAAGCCCUUGAACUGGAACUUCACAUCUGACCUCUGUCCUUCUGUGGUAUUUUUCAGUUUUCUAUAUUGCUCAUGUAUCUCCAUUUGACUAAAUGGAUGCAAGUUGCAUCCCCCAGUAAACAGCACUGAUAAAUUGACAAUAUUGUAUAAACAGAUGCAGCCGUAAUGUGAGUUGUUGCACCCAUACAGAGCCUCGCAUAGUGAUGGAUUUAGACACAGACAAUUCAAUAUACAUCAAAACACUGGGUGAGGUGCUGUAAUUUAUGCUUAUGACAUUUUAUGACAAGAAUCUUACUGAUUGCUGUCGGUCUAGGAGGGACAUAAGUGUACAGGCAAUCUGGAAUGGAACAGAAUAACAUAACUAAAUUGAUAUCUUUGAUGUGAUACAUUUAUACUUCUACUAUUCUGAUGGAUCCUGGUUUGAAUAGCCAGGCUUGAACAUGAUUUUUGGGAUCGAGUCCUUUUCCUGUGGACCUAAUUAUUUUGUAACUAAUCAACACCUGUAGAAUAGAAGUUUGGACAUUUUAACCCCUUUUAAUAUGAAAUAUUAUAGAAAAUAAUUCACCCUGAAAACAUGUCUGUUGUUGGUAGCAGGGAGUUGUCCUUUGAGAGGUGCCCUCUGGUCUCCUAGUGGCUGACUGGCUGGGGUAGUGUAUGUCAGCAGAACUGUUGGUGAUUUGAGUGCAAAAUGUGAAAUGUCAGAAGGACAGGACAGGCUGCCUUUCAUAUGAGCUCUGAGAGCCACUCCUAUCCAUCCUACUGGCCCUGCUGAACUUGCAAGAACUCCAGCUGCGGACCAAUGCUUCAUCCCUGCCCAGCCUGCCCACAGAGAAAGAUAGAACUAAAACAUCACAGAUACACUACCACUGCUGUCUUGAUAGGUGAACAUGUGCAAAGGGAUUGUAACACACCUACUGUUAAAUAACAGAGAGAAUCUGCUCAGGACAUUAUUUAUACAGUUAUGUUGAGACUUUAAAAAUCUUUACAACAGGUGAAGGUUUAGCAGUUCAGGAAAUCUGCCUUACCUCCAGUGGAGAAUGCCUGCCCCCUCUCAUUGAAACCACUGAAGUUCAAGGCCGACUGCAGUACUGCAGGCAUUGCUAAGAGAAAACAGGAUCCCCCAUUAUAGUGAAUGGAGAAAUGGCAAUCUUCAUGUAAGUAAAUAAAACAUUCUAAGACAAUCAUUGUGCCAAUAAUUGCUUAUAAUACACCAGAUGUAUGUCCUUGAAUUUAUUCUUUAAAAAUUGCACACAGAAGAUGUUCUAAGGAUAAUUGUGUUGCUAAUGGCAGUCUGCAGUACCCCGGUCAGCCUUUAAUUUGAGGGGGCAGCCAGUUUCAUGUAUUAAUGUCACGUGCAUAUGUACAAUGGAAUACCUUCAUUGAACACUCUAAACCCAACAAUGCAGUAAUAAAUAACAAUGUAAUGCUAAAAUUAACAUAAGGUAGAACAAUAACACACGUGAUAUAAAAAUAAUAAGUAAGAAGAACACGAGAAAGUAAGUAAGUAUACCAUAUAGAGGGUCAGUCAAGGUCAACUCAGUCUGUGUAGCCAAUUUGUUAGCUAUUUAGUUAGCUAUUUAGCAGUCUUAUGGCUUGGCGAU